AAGGCUCAGUAUAACAGCUAUUAUUUAUUUGAUCGUAAACAUAGUUACUUGGAUAACUGUGGUAAUUCCAGAGCUAAUACAUGCAAACAACAUGGAUCCCUGCAGCAAUGUGGGUGAAACAUGUGCUUUUAUUAGAUUAAAACCAUGUCCACUCUCGGGUGGGCUUGUUUUAGAUGAAUCUGGAUAAUUAUGGCUGAUCGUAUGGUCUUGCACCGACGAUAGAUCAUUCAAAUGUCUGCCCUAUCAACUAUUGAUGGUAGUAUAGAGGACUACCAUGGUUGCAACGGGUAACGGGGAAUCAGGGUUCGA
Molecule: ribosomal RNA, 309 nt
Filed under: Sergentomyia bailyi
Lineage: Eukaryota; Metazoa; Arthropoda; Insecta; Diptera; Psychodidae
Description: SSU rRNA
Rfam family: Eukaryotic small subunit ribosomal RNA
Source: RNAcentral